RNAcentral lists this ribosomal RNA (389 nucleotides) under uncultured Methanosaeta sp. RNAcentral's name for it is "bacterial SSU rRNA". It matches the Rfam family "Archaeal small subunit ribosomal RNA", at positions 954 to 1338 of the family's 1478-position model. The record is from RNAcentral. Lineage: Archaea; Methanobacteriati; Methanobacteriota; Methanomicrobia; Methanotrichales; Methanotrichaceae.
UCAGGCUGAAGACCUUACCCGAUUAGCUGAGAGGUGGUGCAUGGCCGUCGUCAGUUCGUACUGUGAAGCAUCCUGUUAAGUCAGGCAACGAGCGAGACCCACGUCCACAGUUGCCAGCAUACCCUCCGGGGUGGAUGGGUACGACUGUGGAGACCGCCGCUGCUAAAGACGGAGGAAGGAGUGGGCGAGCGGUAGGUCAGUAUGCCCCGAAUCUCCCGGGCUACACGCGGGCUACAAUGGUUGGUACAAUGGGCAUCUACCCCGAAAGGGGAAGGAAAUCUCUUAAAGCCAAUCGUAGUUCGGAUUGAGGGCUGCAACUCGCCCUCAUGAAGCUGGAAUCCGUAGUAAUCGCGUUUCAACAGAACGCGGUGAAUACGUCCCUGCUCCUU